Triticum aestivum (bread wheat) is the source of this 125-nucleotide non-coding RNA. NCBI's taxonomy places the organism in Eukaryota, Viridiplantae, Streptophyta, Magnoliopsida, Poales, Poaceae. The record is from Rfam.
UUUGUACUCCCUCCGUCCGGAAAUACAUGUCGGAGAAAUGGAUGUAUCUAGAUGUAUUUUAGUUUUAGAUACAUCCAUUUUUAUCCAUUUCUCCGACAAGUAUUUUCGGACGGAGGGAGUAAUAU